CAGCCGCCGCGGUAAUACCAGCACCUCAAGUGGUCAGGAUGAUUAUUGGGCCUAAAGCAUCCGUAGCCGGCUCUGUAAGUUUUCGGUUAAAUCUGUACGCUCAACGUACAGGCUGCCGGGAAUACUGCAGAGCUAGGGAGUGGGAGAGGUAGACGGUACUCGGGAGGAAGUGGUAAAAUGCUUUGAUCUCUCGAUGACCACCUGUGGCGAAGGCGGUCUACCAGAACACGUCCGACGGUGAGGGAUGAAAGCUGGGGGAGCAAACCGGAUUAGAUACCCGGGUAGUCCCAGCUGUAAACUAUGCAAACUCAGUGAUGCAUUGGCUUGUGGCCAAUGCAGUAUUGCAGGGAAGCCGUUAAGUUUGCCGCCUGGGAAGUACGUACGCAAGUAUGAAACUUAAAGGAAUUGGCGGGGGAGCACCACAAGGGGUGAAGCCUGCGGUUCAAUUGGAGUCAACGCCAGAAAUCUUACCCGGAGAGACAGCAGAAUGAAGGUCAAGCUGAAGACUUUACCAGACAAGCUGAGAGGUGGUGCAUGGCCGUCGCCAGCUCGUGCCGUGAGAUGUCCUGUUAAGUCAGGUAACGAGCGAGAUCCCUGCCUCUAGUUGCCACCAUUACUCUCAGGAGUAGUGGGGCGAAUUAGCGGGACCGCCGCAGUUAAUGCGGAGGAAGGAAGGGGCCACGGCAGGUCAGUAUGCCCCGAAACUCUGGGGCCACACGCGGGCUGCAAUGGUAAUGACAAUUGGUCCCAAAUCCGAAAGGAGGAGGUAAUCCCCAAACAUUACCACAGUUAUGACUGAGGGCUGCAACUCGCCCUCACGAAUAUGGAAUCCCUAGUAACUGCGUGUCAUUAUCGCGCGGUGAAUACGUCCCUGCUCCUUGCACACACCGCCCGUCGUUUCAUUGAAGUGAGCUUUUAGCGAUGUGACGUCUAAUUGGCGUUAUUGAACUUGAGGUUCGUGACAAGGGAAAAGUCGUAACAAGGUAACCGUA
Molecule: ribosomal RNA, 992 nt
Filed under: uncultured crenarchaeote
Lineage: Archaea; Thermoproteati; Thermoproteota
Description: bacterial SSU rRNA
Rfam family: Archaeal small subunit ribosomal RNA
Source: RNAcentral